UACGUAGGGUGCAAGCGUUGUCCGGAAUUACUGGGCGUAAAGCGCACGUAGGCGGACUGUUAAGUCGGGGGUGAAAUCCUGGGGCUCAACCUCAGAAUUGCCUCCGAUACUGGCAGUCUCGAGUGCGGGAGAGGUGAGUGGAAUUCCCAGUGUAGAGGUGAAAUUCGUAGAUAUUGGGAAGAACACCAGUGGCGAAGGCGGCUCACUGGCCCGUAACUGACGCUGAGGUGCGAAAGCGUGGGGAGCAAACAGG
This 253-nucleotide ribosomal RNA is filed under the name uncultured bacterium. Its description in RNAcentral is "partial 16S ribosomal RNA". It matches the Rfam family "Bacterial small subunit ribosomal RNA", at positions 524 to 776 of the family's 1533-position model. The record is from RNAcentral.